CAACUACUCCCUCUGUCCCAAAUUUCUUGUCUUAGAUUUGUCUAGAUACUGAUGUAUCUAAUACUAAAAUGUGACUUGAUACAUCCGUAUCUAGACAAAUCUAAGACAAGAAUUUUUGGACUUAGGGAGUACUUU
Triticum aestivum (bread wheat) is the source of this 135-nucleotide non-coding RNA. The record is from Rfam. Lineage: Eukaryota; Viridiplantae; Streptophyta; Magnoliopsida; Poales; Poaceae.